CCUACGGUAGGCAGCAGUGAGGGAUAUUGCACAAUGGGGGGAACCCUGAUGCAGCGACGCAGCGUGGGUGAAGAAGGGCCUCGGCGCGUAAAGCCCUGUCAGCAGGGAAGAAAAUGACGGUACCUGAAGAAGAAGCCACGGCUAACUACGUGCCAGAAGCCGCGGUAAUACGUAGGGGGCAAGGGUGAUACGGAUUUACUGGGUGUAAAGGGGGCGCAGACGGCGAUGCAAGCCAGGAGUGAAAGCCCGGUGCCCAACCCCGGGACUGCUCUUGGAACUGCGUGGCUGGAGUGCAGGAGGGGCAGGUGGAAUUCCUGGUGUGGCGGUGAAAUGCGUAGAUAUCAGGAGGAACACCGGUGGCGAAGGCGGCCUGCUGGACUGCAACUGACGUUGAGGCCCGAAAGCGUGGGGAGCAAACAGGAGUAGAUACCCUGGUAGUC
Molecule: ribosomal RNA, 440 nt
Filed under: uncultured bacterium
Lineage: Bacteria
Description: partial 16S ribosomal RNA
Rfam family: Bacterial small subunit ribosomal RNA
Source: RNAcentral